This 253-nucleotide ribosomal RNA is filed under the name uncultured bacterium. RNAcentral's name for it is "partial 16S ribosomal RNA". It matches the Rfam family "Bacterial small subunit ribosomal RNA", at positions 524 to 776 of the family's 1533-position model. The record is from RNAcentral.
UACGUGGGGGGCUAGCGUUGUCCGGAAUCAUUGGGCGUAAAGAGCGUGUAGGCGGCCUUUUAAGUCCUGCGUGAAAUCCUGCGGCUCAACCGCAGACGGUCGUGGGAAACUGGAAGGCUAGAGUGCGGGAGAGGAGAGUGGAAUUCCCGGUGUAGCGGUGAAAUGCGCAGAUAUCGGGAAGAACACCCGUGGCGAAGGCGGCUCUCUGGAACGCAACUGACGCUGAGACGCGAAAGCGUGGGGAGCAAACAGG